UGACAUAGUUAGUACUACAUU
RNAcentral lists this microRNA (21 nucleotides) under Hydra vulgaris (swiftwater hydra). RNAcentral's name for it is "Hvu-Novel-15_3p (mature (guide))". Lineage: Eukaryota; Metazoa; Cnidaria; Hydrozoa; Anthoathecata; Hydridae. The record is from RNAcentral.